Peromyscus eremicus (cactus mouse) is the source of this 546-nucleotide long non-coding RNA. RefSeq lists it as uncharacterized. NCBI's taxonomy places the organism in Eukaryota, Metazoa, Chordata, Mammalia, Rodentia, Cricetidae. The transcript has 2 exons. The record is from RefSeq and is a predicted model, not a curated record.
AGAUCCCCAGGCCUUCUGCACAGGAAGAUGAGGGCACCCGCUGGAAACAAAGCCUUGGAGAACACAAGAGGUUCUUCGAACCUGCAUCCUGGACCCCCACCCUCUCUCAGGUUACAGAGCCCAGAACUCAGCCCCGGGGAUGAAGCUUUGGUACAGGCCAAGACUCACGGCUCCGGUGCAGCAACGACCUACUUAGAGCCCGCCCACUGGUGACAAGAAGCAGGGGACAGCUGAGCCUUCUGGAUGCAGGUACUUCCUCUCACUCCCACCAUCUCGUCCACAACUGAGCUCUGCUUCGACAAGGCAUGCAGCAUGGAUCGGCAGCCCGUGUGCAAUGCCGUCAGACAAGAAGGACAUUUCAUAUACAUUUGUUUGUGUUGUUUGACUUUUCCGACUGGCAUAAGAGACUGCAUUACCUAUUAUUAAUAAUAAUAUGGAUUAAUAAUACUAAUACUGUAUUAUGUUUGUUUUGUGUGCGUUGUAUUAUCGCACCAAUCCAGCUCAAAUAAAACAUUGUAUGACUUCUGCUUUCCAUUUCUCUGCAAA